This 396-nucleotide unclassified non-coding RNA is filed under the name Hevea brasiliensis (rubber tree). The record is from RNAcentral. Lineage: Eukaryota; Viridiplantae; Streptophyta; Magnoliopsida; Malpighiales; Euphorbiaceae.
UCCAUAUUCAGGUUUCCUGCGAUCCUCCGUUCAGCUUCCCUCACACAUUCGAGGACCACCGGCUUUCCGUUAUCGUCUCGAUAUGCACCUACUCCAACAUUGACUUUGUUAGGACUCGGAUCGGCCAAGAAAGCUUCAGUAACGCCUAGAAUCGGAUCUUUUGGAGCCGGUUCUACGCUCUUCCACCAAGACGACAUGGAUCUAGCUCCGACGCCGAAGCAUCUCAGGCCGCUCUGGUCUAAAACCUUCCUCGAAAUCGCUGCUUGCAACGCCAUGAACAUCAACAAUACACUGCUAGCUCUCUCUCACUAUUCUCUCUACAAAAUCCGACGGAAAUGCGAGAGGGAAAGGAGCGGACGAGAUUUUGUGGAGGCGCGAAAACAGAGCGGUUUCGGG